Molecule: ribosomal RNA, 201 nt
Filed under: uncultured bacterium
Lineage: Bacteria
Description: partial 16S ribosomal RNA
Rfam family: Bacterial small subunit ribosomal RNA
Source: RNAcentral
GUAGUCUGCAACCCGGCUACAUGAAGCUGGAAUCGCUAGUAAUCGCGGAUCAGAAUGCCGCGGUGAAUACGUUCCCGGGUCUUGUACACACCGCCCGUCACACCAUGGGAGUCGGAAAUGCCCGAAGUCUGUGACCCAACCUCAGGGAGGGAGCAGCCGAAGGCAGGUCGGAUGACUGGGGUGAAGUCGUAACAAGGUAAC